UACGGGGGGGGCAAGCGUUGUUCGGAAUUACUGGGCGUAAAGGGCUCGUAGGCGGCCAACUAAGUCGGAUGUGAAAUCCCCAGGCUUAACCUGGGAACUGCAUCCGAUACUGGAUGGCUUGAAUUCGGGAGAGGGAUGCAGAAUUCCAGGUGUAGCGGUGAAAUGCGUAGAUAUCCGGAGGAAUACCGGUGGCGAAGGCGGCAUCCUGGACCGGCAUUGACGCUGAGGCGCGAAAGCCAGGGGAGCAAACGGG
This 253-nucleotide ribosomal RNA is filed under the name uncultured bacterium. RNAcentral's name for it is "partial 16S ribosomal RNA". It matches the Rfam family "Bacterial small subunit ribosomal RNA", at positions 524 to 776 of the family's 1533-position model. The record is from RNAcentral.